RNAcentral lists this ribosomal RNA (253 nucleotides) under uncultured bacterium. Its description in RNAcentral is "partial 16S ribosomal RNA". It matches the Rfam family "Bacterial small subunit ribosomal RNA", at positions 524 to 776 of the family's 1533-position model. The record is from RNAcentral.
UACGUAGGGUGCAAGCGUUAAUCGGAAUUACUGGGCGUAAAGCGUGCGCAGGCGGUUCUAUAAGACAGAUGUGAAAUCCCCGGGCUCAACCUGGGAACUGCAUUUGUGACUGUAGAGCUGGAGUGCGGCAGAGGGGGAUGGAAUUCCGCGUGUAGCAGUGAAAUGCGUAGAUAUGCGGAGGAACACCGAUGGCGAAGGCAAUCCCCUGGGCCUGCACUGACGCUCAUGCACGAAAGCGUGGGGAUCAAACAGG